AGCAAAGGAGAGGACUGUGGCAAAGUUAGCUGAGGAAAGAACCAAGUUGUUUGAUAAGUUUACACAAAUGUUGAGUGCCGACACUACAACAAUGGAGCCAUGGGCAAAGGAGAUGCAUGUGAGGGCUGUCACGAGAUUGGGGGAUCAACUUUUCAAGGAGGGAUAGAAGGUAUGUAGUCCAACUUGUUCGUCUCUCCUUUGUUUAGAUGUUGUGUGUGUUCCGUAAGCUGAUUGAAACCUGCUCAACUUAUCUGCUAACGUUGGUAGUUAAUUGAAGCCAAACCUGAACUUGAGUGCAAAGGUUGGAUGCUAAACCUGUUUUGUCUUUGUUUUUGUAAGUGCAAACCUGAACUUGAGUGCUAAAGUUGGAUGCUAAACCUGAUUGAACUGCUUGCGUGUCGGCCAUUUGGAGAUAAACUAACCGUUGAUAUUCAUUUGUCUUUCAAACCAAACUAUUAUGGAUGCUCUGUAGAUAUGCGCCAUGCUAGAAAUUGUUGAUAUUCAUUUGGAGUUACUACAUUUUGAACUAAACUGUAGAUAUGUAUUUCCUUGACUGAAACCAAACUGUAGAUAUGUAUUUCCUUUGUUUUCCACAUAGUUUGUGCCAUGCUAGUUCUAAAUAUACUCUAACAUGUGUCUUCCUUGUUAUGGAUGUUCUGUAGAUAUGUGUGCAGCAAAGGGGAGCUUCAUGUGCAAGGAAGCAUAGAAGAUGUGAGACUGUUUUGUUUUGAACGAGAAGGGCCAACGGAUACACCAACAAAUUCAGUUUGAACUUUGAAUAAAUAUGAUAUGCGUGUUUACAAAUCUUCUCUUGUGCUUGGAAACCUUAAGAUUGUUCUAUUACUGUGAGAUUUUUUGUGUCAUGGUCAAGAAAUACUUGUUGUUAUAUUUUGGAUAUAAAAAAUUGCUGGUAAGAAUGUUCUAUUGUUGUGGGAUGUUCUCUAUCAUGGUCAAAACAUAAUUGUUG
RNAcentral lists this long non-coding RNA (967 nucleotides) under Hordeum vulgare. RNAcentral describes it as "long non-coding RNA (HVUL_LNC006019)". Lineage: Eukaryota; Viridiplantae; Streptophyta; Magnoliopsida; Poales; Poaceae. The record is from RNAcentral.